This 1132-nucleotide long non-coding RNA is filed under the name Lepisosteus oculatus (spotted gar). RNAcentral's name for it is "lncRNA (ENSLOCG00000021829.1)". Lineage: Eukaryota; Metazoa; Chordata; Actinopteri; Semionotiformes; Lepisosteidae. The record is from RNAcentral.
CUCAUCGUUGUUGUGCGGUGCUGUGCAUCUCUCUCUCUCUCUGGGACCGGUGUGUGGGCACAGCUAAGAGGUAGGGGAUCCAAGUGCAUCUGAUCUAAUUGGGAUGGAUUGGGGGAUAUCCCUGUUCGCAUCCCAGCUGUGAUGUCAGUCCUUGUGUGCAGAAAGCACAACGGCAGCCUAGGGGACUUCUACAACUGUAAACGGCACUAUAGCUGGAGGGUCGGAUGGUCUCUUUGUGGAGCCCCAGUGCCUGAGGAGCUGGGAGAAGCUGUUGAAUUGCCCUUAUUAAGCCAGUGAUGAACGGAUUUAGGUCUUCAAGAGCGGAGUCGGAAUGGCAAGCAGAUACACCAACCCCCCAGGACCAGGAUUGGAGCUGGAUCCGGCAUAAGGCAUUGUGGUCCCACAGCUUGUGUUGUGGCAGUAGCGAGAACGAUCUUGAAGCUUCUACGACUGGCAGCACGGUUUUGAUUGUAGACGUAAUAAGGCCCACAUUUGUUGCUUAGCAGAUGCUCUUAUAGAAACUGAGUUACAGAUACAAGGAACUACAACUGUGCCACGGUGAUAGCUGCUGCUGCAAAGCCAAACGACCGAGAGCAGGCCCUUAUCCUGACAUCUCAUGUGAAGGACAGAGCACAGAGGGCAGAGGAGAGAGCCAGUACCUCUCUGCGGAGCUCACAAGGGCCGUGGGGCGAACCAGCGCGCUCUUGGGCCGAGGGGAGGGCUGGAGCUGGGAGGAGUGACAGCUCUCGCCGGCGGUGCUGCAAGCUGGCAGAUCCCUUACGACAGUGGCCAUCGGGGUCCCAGUCAGCGUCUGGGACAUGGCCCAGACCGGAAAGCUGUCCGGAAGACGGGGCUCAGGCCCUGCUCCUAUCGACUGCCCCCUUUGGAAAGCCCCUAAAUCCUGAAUUUCAUGCUGACAUAAGAACUGAGUGUGUACACAUAUCAAAAAGAAAUUGUCUAAACUAAAUCCUAAUGGAAAGGAGUCAAAUUGUCGGUUGCUACGGUGAACCUUUUCAAGGACGGGCUGCCCUCGAGCUUCGCGCUGUGUCUGCCGUCUGCCUGCACACCCUGGAAGACUUGCACUGUAUAUUAACACAAUCAGUCACUCUAUAAAUGGCAAGGCAUGAAAAUC